This 468-nucleotide ribosomal RNA is filed under the name uncultured bacterium. RNAcentral's name for it is "partial 16S ribosomal RNA". It matches the Rfam family "Bacterial small subunit ribosomal RNA", at positions 28 to 507 of the family's 1533-position model. The record is from RNAcentral.
GACGAACGCUGGCGGCGUGCUUAACACAUGCAAGUCGAACGGAAAGGCCCUGCUUUUGUUGGGUUCUCUAGUGGCGAUCGUGUGUGUAACACGUGAGUAACCUGCCCUUGUCUUUGUUAUAACUUCAGGAAACUGGGGCUAAUACCCGAUAUUAUCUCCUGCUUCAUGGUGUGGGUUGGUUAUUUUCGGCGGUUGGGGAUGUACUCGCUGCUUAUCAGCUUGUUGGUUGGGUAGUGGCUUACCAAGGCUUUGACGGGUAGCCGGCCUGAGAGGGUGACCGGCCACAUUGGGACGGAGAUACGGCCCAGACUCCUACGGGAGGCAGCAGUGGGGAAUAUUGCAAAAUGGGCGGAAGCCUGAUGCAGCAACGCCGCGUGCGGGAUGACGGCCUUCGGGUUGUAAACCGCUUUCGCCUGUGACGAAGCGUGAGUGACGGUAAUGGGUAAAGAAGCACCGGCUAACUACGUG